This is a long non-coding RNA of Canis lupus familiaris (dog), 1077 nucleotides long. RefSeq lists it as uncharacterized. The record is from RefSeq and is a predicted model, not a curated record. Lineage: Eukaryota; Metazoa; Chordata; Mammalia; Carnivora; Canidae. The transcript is spliced from 4 exons.
CGUAGUUUAGCUGAGAUAUUAAAAACGCUUAUUGUUUGAGCAACUUUGUUUUUGUUAUUUGCACCUGACAGCAUUCCAACCUGAGGAUUGAUAGGUGAUUUGAAGAUAAUUCAGUAGAAUGAAUAUAGGGGCAAUUUCAAUUGAGAGAGAAAUUUAAGACAACAGAGUAUCAUGUAUGGAGUCGAUUGAAUAGGAAAAGCCUUUGGAGGAAGGAGACCUCGUUCUGUGAUAGCAAGGUGGCAGAGACAGAUGGACAGAAAGCUUAACUGAUGAUACCAAGAAAUGAAAUCCAAAAUCCAUCACUGUAAUUAGCUCGAGUACACAACGACAGUAUCUUCUUCCCCCAAAAUUAUGAUUGAUAUUAAACUGUUACUGAACAUUGAAAAGUUAAUAUUGAUUCUCAAAUGAAACAAUAGAUUGAAGCACAAUCUACUUUGACUGGCUAAAGACCAAAAUAAACCUUAAUUUAUGAUUUAUCAUUCUGCAAUUGGUUAUCGCAAUGGAUGCUUUGGUAGAUUCCCUAAACUCCUUCCUCAAGACCAUCCAGCAGUUACUGGAAAUAACAGCAACUGACCACACAGAGCUCAAUCCCUCAAGAAGAGUUGUGCUCAGCUACAAGGAGCUGCUUUACCACAGGUGACUAGGGGCAAUCCAUGGCCAAUGACUGCCUAAUGAAGGGAUACAAUGGCCCUGCCUCAAGUUGGGACAACUUUAAAGGCCCACCUCAUCUCUAGAGUUCCCAAGAGCAUUGGCUGAAGUCUGAGAUGCAACUGCAUUACACGUUAUCUUGUAUCCCUCUGCCCAGGCCCUGUCAUCACUUGUUCAUAUGUGUAUGUUCUACUAGAGGACCCCAUAAGCAACCUAUGUGAAAUUGUCUGUCACUUAAUAGGGAACUCAUUUUUCUGAUACAGAAAAAACUUAGGUCCUGCAUUUUACAAAAAUAUGAGAUAAAGGAAUUUUCCUCCUUGAGUUUUGAAAAGAAUAAUCUGAAAAAGCUCAAAAACACAACGAAGAAUAAUUUCAUCGGGUUUAUGAAAACUUCUCAUUUUCAAUACAAUAAAUAUCAUGAGAUAGAAA